UGCUCUGAAGAGACGAAACAGAAAACUGAGAUCACCAGAAAGUUGCACACUGAGUGCAUGCGCGGAAUGUCGAAAAGUGCCCGAUCAAUACGUCAACGUGACCGGCAGAAACAUUUCAGAUGGACCCCUGGAGGUGAGCGCAGCUUUCAGAGUGCACAUCUGACAUUUCAGAUGAAAAGCCAGCUACGGCAUGAAUGCCAGCGCCUUCAAAUAUGCCAUGCGGCACAAGAAGACAUCAUCAGAUAAUCCCUGACACAUCUUGUACACUAUUAAUGAUGUCCGUUUCACAUCAAAUCAGGUAAGGAGAUGGGGAAAAAAAGCUAAAUACUUUGCAGUCCAUUGCCAACAAAUUAUGGAAUGCACUUGUGAGCCAAUGGGGCUGCUUGCCAGCCGGUGAAAGAAUAACAUUUCAAACAUUUGUUUCGGCAGGCUAAAACAGAUUUUUGGCUGUUUUGUGUAAAAUGUACUUCUGUAUAUGUAUGAAUGUAUGUGAAUUACCGGUACUUGUAUGUGAAUCUUUUCUGUGAAAAGUGCUGUAUGAAGAAAAUAUAUAUAGAACAGAGUGCAAGUUGAUCUGCGUGUUCAAACCCAUCCCCGAGGAACACGCCCUUUUCAACACACCGGACCAUUACAUUCAUUGAGCUGUGUUAUCGUCCCUUUAUUGUUUUGUGUCUUAUUUUUGCAGUUUCUUUGCUAGCUGCAUGAUGAAAAAGUUCCUUUCAAUCCAGUGGUCAAAAUCUUUGAGGAAAUGCAUCGAUGAAGACCCCAUAAAAUGGUGGUGGCGAUUGGGGCAGGCUGAACCCCUUAAUUUGCAUGAAAUAAAAAUAAAACAAAAAUCUUAAGAUGGCUUCAUGUUCAAAAACUAAGAGCAAUCAAUCACCACCAAAAUGGACAAGCACAACACCACCUACGCCACAAUAUUUUGGAUUUCAAAGGCAUGAAGCAUUGUUGUUAUUUAGCUUGCGUGCGCACCUAUGGAGAGCAAGACGGGAAUGUCCAUAAAAUGUCAAAUAUUCAUAGGAUUGUUUUGACAUUUUCAGAGGUUGAAGUGAACAGAAAGAGACGUGAACAAUUUUCUGACAUGAAGCCACGUUACGCUUUUUUACGUCAAGCGUUUUAGACUGUCCCUGUGGAUUUCCAUUUUAGACGGGCAUUUGCUCUGGUCUAAGUACGUGUGUGUAUAAAGCCUUUACCUGGCAACUGAGGGCAUACUUUCUCAGCCAAAUACUGUGGAAGGUUACGUGGCAUCUCCCCCCUUAUAUCCACAAGCACCCGAGUGUGGCUUGAGGAGAUCUGAUAGAUGAGCACAGGGCUCGGGUUGGCCAGCACCAAUUCCGCGUGGUUGGCUUUAAACUGGGGGCAGUCCUGUCAAGUACAAGCCAAUUAUUAGUGGAAGAAAAAAUGAAGGUUUGUCACAUUGUCUCAUAUACUGUACCAUUUAAUUUCCCUUACGCUGCAAUCUUGUUGUUGUUGUGUGUGUGUGUGUGUGUGUGUGUGUGUGUGUGUGUGUGUGUGUAUGUGUAGGAGUGCGUGUGUGUGUGUGUGUGUGUGUGUGUGUGUGUGCUGGGAGAAGUGGGCUUGGCUUUUGAAAAAAAUCUGAGAAAUCUACCUUCAUGAGGCAUCCAACAAAGUGAGAAGAAACGUAAGCUUUCCCAGCCACCAGCCUCUUCCUGAAUUUGGAAAAACAUCCAUCAGCCACCACUGUCAAAGCCGCGUGCACUUCCUGGAAGACAUCUCCAUCAGCAACUUCACUCAUUAAAAUAAAUCAAUAAAUAAAUAUAUGCUGUACUUACAAGACAAU
Long non-coding RNA from Hippocampus zosterae (dwarf seahorse), 1801 nucleotides. RefSeq lists it as uncharacterized. The transcript is spliced from 2 exons. NCBI's taxonomy places the organism in Eukaryota, Metazoa, Chordata, Actinopteri, Syngnathiformes, Syngnathidae. The record is from RefSeq and is a predicted model, not a curated record.